Molecule: ribosomal RNA, 394 nt
Filed under: uncultured bacterium
Lineage: Bacteria
Description: partial 16S ribosomal RNA
Rfam family: Bacterial small subunit ribosomal RNA
Source: RNAcentral
CCUACGGGGUGCAGCAGUGGGGAAUAUUGGGCAAUGGAGGCAACUCUGACCCAGCAAUGCCGCGUGAGUGAUGAAGGUAAUUUUAUUGUAAAGCUCUUUUCUUUGGAACGAAUAAAUGACGGUACCAAAGGAAGAAGCGACGGCUAAAUACGUGUCAGCCGCAGGGGUAAUGAGUAGGGGGCAAGUGUGGGUCGGAAUGACUGGGCGUAAAGGGUGUGUAGGUGGUUUGAUAAGUUAGAUGUGUAAUACCCAGGGCUUAACUCGGGUGCUGCAUCUAAAACUGUUAGACGUGAGUACUGGAGAGGAUAGUGGAAUUCCUAGUGUAGCGGUGGAAUGCGUAGAUAUUAGGAGGAACAUCAGUGGCGAAGGCGACUAUCUGGACAGCAACUGACAC